RNAcentral lists this ribosomal RNA (497 nucleotides) under uncultured bacterium. RNAcentral describes it as "partial 16S ribosomal RNA". It matches the Rfam family "Bacterial small subunit ribosomal RNA", at positions 28 to 507 of the family's 1533-position model. The record is from RNAcentral.
GAUGAACGCUGGCGGCGUGCCCAAUACAUGCAAGUCGAGCGAACGGACGAGAAGCUUGCUUCUCUGAUGUUAGCGGCGGACGGGUGAGUAACACGUGGAUAACCUACCUAUAAGACUGGGAUAACUUCGGGAAACCGGAGCUAAUACCGGAUAAUAUUUUGAACCGCAUGGUUCAAAAGUGAAAGACGGUCUUGCUGUCACUUAUAGAUGGAUCCGCGCUGCAUUAGCUAGUUGGUAAGGUAACGGCUUACCAAGGCAACGAUGCAUAGCCGACCUGAGAGGGUGAUCGGCCACACUGGAACUGAGACACGGUCCAGACUCCUACGGGAGGCAGCAGUAGGGAAUCUUCCGCAAUGGGCGAAAGCCUGACGGAGCAACGCUGCGUGAGUGAUGAAGGUCUUCGGAUCGUAAAACUCUGUUAUUAGGGAAGAACAUAUGUGUAAGUAACUGUGCACAUCUUGACGGUACCUAAUCAGAAAGCCACGGCUAACUACGUG